GAUUAACGCUGGCGGCGUGCAUAACACAUGCAAGUCGAACGAUGAAGAUUAAAGGAUUUCUUCGGAAUGACAUUAAUUGGAUUAGUGGCGGACGGGUGAGUAACGCGUGAGUAACCUGCCUUACACGAGGGGAUAGCCGUUGGAAACGACGAAUAAUACCCUAUAACAUUAACCAAUCGCAUGAUAGGUUAAUCAAAGAUUUAUCGGUGUAAGAUGGACUCGCGUCUGAUUAGCUAGUUGGUGGGGUAACAGCCUACCAAGGCAACGAUCAGUAGCCGGCUUGAGAGAGUGUACGGCCACAUUGGGACUGAGACACGGCCCAGACUCCUACGGGAGGCAGCAGUGGGGAAUUUUGCACAAUGGGGAAACCCUGAUGCAGCGACGCCGCGUGAUUUAGAAGGCC
Molecule: ribosomal RNA, 403 nt
Filed under: uncultured bacterium
Lineage: Bacteria
Description: bacterial SSU rRNA
Rfam family: Bacterial small subunit ribosomal RNA
Source: RNAcentral